UUCAUGAAUUAAACUUCUGUCAGCUGAAGCCUCCAGCAUUGUUCUGCCCAUGUUCAGUAUGGAGGCUUCUGGCUCACAAGAAGUUUUAAUGGCACAGUACAGAGGAUCUGUCCUCAGUUUAUAAAGGACAUUCAAGAAGCCAUUACAUAAGAUGCCUCAAAGUAGCUGGAGAGGCAAGACACUACUGAAGCAAGAAAUGAAGAUACUUUUCUGUAGGCACUUCUGAGACCUUUAAAAGAAAGUAGAACAUUGGUCACACUUUUUUCAGUGUAAUUUUAGCCAAUGCAGUGGACAAAAGAGGAUGAUUAUAAUGAAAGAUUUAACAUCUUGUGCAAGAUCAAUAUCAGUACAUAAGAGCUGAUCUGAAAAUGGACGAUGAAUAAACUUGAG
Molecule: long non-coding RNA, 390 nt
Organism: Neopelma chrysocephalum (saffron-crested tyrant-manakin)
Lineage: Eukaryota; Metazoa; Chordata; Aves; Passeriformes; Pipridae
Exons: 3
Source: RefSeq, a predicted model, not a curated record